CAGUAGCCGCGGUAAUACGUAUGUCACGAGCGUUAUCCGGAUUUAUUGGGCGUAAAGCGCGUCUAGGUGGUUAUAUAAGUCUGAUGUGAAAAUGCAGGGCUCAACUCUGUAUUGCGUUGGAAACUGUAUAACUAGAGUACUGGAGAGGUAAGCGGAACUACAAGUGUAGAGGUGAAAUUCGUAGAUAUCAGUAGGAAUGCCGAUGGGGAAGCCAGCUUACUGGACAGAUACUGACGCUGAAGCGCGAAGGCGUGGGUAGCAAACAGGAUUAGAUACCCCCGUAGUCCCUGUCUCUUAUACA
Molecule: ribosomal RNA, 301 nt
Filed under: uncultured bacterium
Lineage: Bacteria
Description: partial 16S ribosomal RNA
Rfam family: Bacterial small subunit ribosomal RNA
Source: RNAcentral